Molecule: ribosomal RNA, 2927 nt
Filed under: Salmonella enterica subsp. enterica serovar Saintpaul
Lineage: Bacteria; Pseudomonadati; Pseudomonadota; Gammaproteobacteria; Enterobacterales; Enterobacteriaceae
Description: bacterial LSU rRNA
Rfam family: Bacterial large subunit ribosomal RNA
Source: RNAcentral
GGGUUGUGAGGUUAAGCGACUAAGCGUACACGGUGGAUGCCCUGGCAGUCAGAGGCGAUGAAGGACGUGCUAAUCUGCGAUAAGCGCCGGUAAGGUGAUAUGAACCGUUAUAACCGGCGAUUUCCGAAUGGGGAAACCCAGUGUGACUCGUCACACUAUCAUUAACUGAAUCCAUAGGUUAAUGAGGCGAACCGGGGGAACUGAAACAUCUAAGUACCCCGAGGAAAAGAAAUCAACCGAGAUUCCCCCAGUAGCGGCGAGCGAACGGGGAGGAGCCCAGAGCCUGAAUCAGCAUGUGUGUUAGUGGAAGCGUCUGGAAAGGCGCGCGAUACAGGGUGACAGCCCCGUACACAAAAGCGCAUGUGCUGUGAGCUCGAUGAGUAGGGCGGGACACGUGGUAUCCUGUCUGAAUAUGGGGGGACCAUCCUCCAAGGCUAAAUACUCCUGACUGACCGAUAGUGAACCAGUACCGUGAGGGAAAGGCGAAAAGAACCCCGGCGAGGGGAGUGAAAAAGAACCUGAAACCGUGUACGUACAAGCAGUGGGAGCACAGGUUUACCUGUGUGACUGCGUACCUUUUGUAUAAUGGGUCAGCGACUUAUAUUCUGUAGCAAGGUUAACCGUAUAGGGGAGCCGGAGGGAAACCGAGUCUUAAUUGGGCGUUAAGUUGCAGGGUAUAGACCCGAAACCCGGUGAUCUAGCCAUGGGCAGGUUGAAGGUUGGGUAACACUAACUGGAGGACCGAACCGACUAAUGUUGAAAAAUUAGCGGAUGACCUGUGGCUGGGGGUGAAAGGCCAAUCAAACCGGGAGAUAGCUGGUUCUCCCCGAAAGCUAUUUAGGUAGCGCCUCGUGAAUUCAUCUCCGGGGGUAGAGCACUGUUUCGGCUAGGGGGCCAUCCCGGCUUACCAACCCGAUGCAAACUGCGAAUACCGGAGAAUGUUAUCACGGGAGACACACGGCGGGUGCUAACGUCCGUCGUGAAGAGGGAAACAACCCAGACCGCCAGCUAAGGUCCCAAAGUCAUGGUUAAGUGGGAAACGAUGUGGGAAGGCCCAGACAGCCAGGAUGUUGGCUUAGAAGCAGCCAUCAUUUAAAGAAAGCGUAAUAGCUCACUGGUCGAGUCGGCCUGCGCGGAAGAUGUAACGGGGCUAAACCAUGCACCGAAGCUGCGGCAGCGACGCUGAUGCGUUGUUGGGUAGGGGAGCGUUCUGUAAGCCUGCGAAGGUGGCCUGUGAGGGUUGCUGGAGGUAUCAGAAGUGCGAAUGCUGACAUAAGUAACGAUAAAGCGGGUGAAAAGCCCGCUCGCCGGAAGACCAAGGGUUCCUGUCCAACGUUAAUCGGGGCAGGGUGAGUCGACCCCUAAGGCGAGGCCGAAAGGCGUAGUCGAUGGGAAACGGGUUAAUAUUCCCGUACUUGGUGUUACUGCGAAGGGGGGACGGAGAAGGCUAUGUUGGCCGGGCGACGGUUGUCCCGGUUUAAGCGUGUAGGCUGGUUUUCCAGGCAAAUCCGGAAAAUCAAGGCUGAGGCGUGACGACGAGGCACUACGGUGCUGAAGCAACAAAUGCCCUGCUUCCAGGAAAAGCCUCUAAGCAUCAGGUAACAUCAAAUCGUACCCCAAACCGACACAGGUGGUCAGGUAGAGAAUACCAAGGCGCUUGAGAGAACUCGGGUGAAGGAACUAGGCAAAAUGGUGCCGUAACUUCGGGAGAAGGCACGCUGAUAUGUAGGUGAAGUGAUUUACUCAUGGAGCUGAAAUCAGUCGAAGAUACCAGCUGGCUGCAACUGUUUAUUAAAAACACAGCACUGUGCAAACACGAAAGUGGACGUAUACGGUGUGACGCCUGCCCGGUGCCGGAAGGUUAAUUGAUGGGGUCAGCGCAAGCGAAGCUCCUGAUCGAAGCCCCGGUAAACGGCGGCCGUAACUAUAACGGUCCUAAGGUAGCGAAAUUCCUUGUCGGGUAAGUUCCGACCUGCACGAAUGGCGUAAUGAUGGCCAGGCUGUCUCCACCCGAGACUCAGUGAAAUUGAACUCGCUGUGAAGAUGCAGUGUACCCGCGGCAAGACGGAAAGACCCCGUGAACCUUUACUAUAGCUUGACACUGAACAUUGAGCCUUGAUGUGUAGGAUAGGUGGGAGGCUUUGAAGCGUGGACGCCAGUCUGCGUGGAGCCGACCUUGAAAUACCACCCUUUAAUGUUUGAUGUUCUAACGUGGACCCGUUACCCGGGUUGCGGACAGUGUCUGGUGGGUAGUUUGACUGGGGCGGUCUCCUCCUAAAGAGUAACGGAGGAGCACGAAGGUUGGCUAAUCCUGGUCGGACAUCAGGAGGUUAGUGCAAUGGCAUAAGCCAGCUUGACUGCGAGCGUGACGGCGCGAGCAGGUGCGAAAGCAGGUCAUAGUGAUCCGGUGGUUCUGAAUGGAAGGGCCAUCGCUCAACGGAUAAAAGGUACUCCGGGGAUAACAGGCUGAUACCGCCCAAGAGUUCAUAUCGACGGCGGUGUUUGGCACCUCGAUGUCGGCUCAUCACAUCCUGGGGCUGAAGUAGGUCCCAAGGGUAUGGCUGUUCGCCAUUUAAAGUGGUACGCGAGCUGGGUUUAGAACGUCGUGAGACAGUUCGGUCCCUAUCUGCCGUGGGCGCUGGAGAACUGAGGGGGGCUGCUCCUAGUACGAGAGGACCGGAGUGGACGCAUCACUGGUGUUCGGGUUGUCAUGCCAAUGGCACUGCCCGGUAGCUAAAUGCGGAAGAGAUAAGUGCUGAAAGCAUCUAAGCACGAAACUUGCCCCGAGAUGAGUUCUCCCUGAGACUUAGAGUCUCCUGAAGGAACGUUGAAGACGACGACGUUGAUAGGCCGGGUGUGUAAGCGCAGCGAUGCGUUGAGCUAACCGGUACUAAUGAACCGUGAGGCUUAACCUUACAACGCCGAAG